Molecule: long non-coding RNA, 334 nt
Organism: Lontra canadensis (Northern American river otter)
Lineage: Eukaryota; Metazoa; Chordata; Mammalia; Carnivora; Mustelidae
Exons: 3
Source: RefSeq, a predicted model, not a curated record
CGCCUCUCGCGAAGCCCCUUCGCGGGGCGGGCCGGCCGGCGGGCCGCACCCCCGGCCUGGGGCCUCCGGUCGUAGUAAAGCGGAGGCGGGUGGGGAGGCGGGAGCGUUAGCCCGCGGCGGGCGAGGCGAAGAUGGUGGCGGCUACUCCUCCUGUCAUACACGUGGACCUAACUGCACCAAAAGCUUUUCUUAAGGAUACUUGCUGAGAAGAAAGUUUUCCCUAGUGGAGCUUCAGAAACACUGCUAAGAAAAAGAGAGCUGUUAAAGAUAGAGACUUAUUCCCUAAACCCAUUUCCGGUAAGACUGUGGUGGGGGCGCAGCCAGUGGCUGUGAG